ACGUAUGGAAUGAAUGAAGACCAGAAAAUAUAUGAUAAGAGAUGUAAAUCAAUAAAAAAAUCUUAAUAAUCUAGUGAUAUUAUUCUUUUUAUGUCUAAAAUAUACAUUAGUUUACUCAAUCAAAAGAAAGAAAUUAGUUUACGAAAAAAAUAUUUGUAGCAUGCAUGUAACUUGUGUAGCUUCACUUUGAUAUAUUCAAAUAGUAAAGACUAAUAUAAUAAGUAAAAUCGACUCAGUAAAAUAAAUUUAUUAGCAAGUUAUACAACUUUGGUCAUUUUAAUUUUGAUAUAUUCAAAGUUGGUGGUAUACUUGUUAACCUAAACCGAGUAAAGAUAAGUUAAAAAAUUUCAUAUAUAAACUUUAUUUUAUUCAUUUGAUGACUAAUUCUGUUUUAAAAUUACCGACUAGUUCAAAAUAAAAUUAAAAAUAUAUAUUAAAAUGUAGAAUAUUACUAACCGCAACGACAGAGUCUCUUGCAGCUACAGCCAAAAUGUCUGCACAAGAAACAACUGGUUUUCCACAUGCUUUAUCAACAGCAUCCUUAAUCUCAUCAACAACUUCAAAUCCUCUUGCUGAAUUUAUAUUUGGAUUUGCAUUUUUUUCACUGUCCAUCGAAGGUGUAGAGUCUAGAAGAAUUGAACCAUCACAACCCUGAAUCACCAUAAAAAUUAAAAAAUUAACUAUCACUUAAUAAUUAAUAUUAACACAUAUAUAAGCUACAAAAAUUUGCUGUUUAGCAACACAUUUAAAUCUUUUUUUUUAUAGUUAUCGUAACAAUUUAUUUAUUGACCAAUUUUCAAAUUAUGAAUCACAUUAUUAUCUAAAUUAAUCAUUAAAUAAAUUUAUUAACUGUUUAAUGAUUGAUUUGGAAUAGUAACUAAAUUAUAAUAUAAUUGUUAACACUACUAAAAAAGUGAAAAUUAGAAAGGAAAAUGUAGAGACCAAAAAUUUAAAAUCUUCUCUAAAUUUUGUUGGAGUAAAUAGAGUGAAAAUCUAUAAAUAAUUUUCACUUUGGUAAAAAAUAAAUAAAAUUGGGAUAUCUACAAAUUUGCUUAUAACUUUAGAAGGGUUUGUUCUCAUUUUAGUUUUUCUAGUAGUAAUAUAAUAUUUAGCGACUAAAUUGAUAAAUCUUACAUUAACAAAGCAAUCAUGAAAAUGCAAGCGUAGUAAAGAGCCACCCAUACGAUUCUCUUUUUCAACUGCAGCUUCAACAACACUUCUAAUAGUGCUCAAAGCAUUAGGGCAUGUGUAGUCAUAAUAAUUUGUUGUGAGUGCUGAAAAUGUUUUGGUUGCAAGUGCUGCUAACACUAUUGCAUGGAAGAACAUUGAGAAAUACCUAUGUGAGGACAUUUUUACUAAGCAAUUAAUGAUUAUUGAUAAGUGACUAGUAAGGAAAUUAUUGGGUUAUUAGGUUGUAUUUGUGUUGUGAAUGUAUGUACAUUGAUAUGUAUAUUUAUAGAGACAUAAGAAACGUGAGCAUGCAUAAAGAAAAUACCAAGUGAUGGACUAGGCCUAAAAGUUGACCAUGUCGUGAAAAGAAACUUUCAUCAAGGCAUUUUUUGGGACAUAAAUUAAUAUAGUAAACUUUCAUCAAGGCAUUGGUGAACUUCUUAUACAAAUAAGGAUUAAUUAAAUUUUUAGUGCUAUAAAUAUUCACAAUUUUGUUUUUAGUCCUUAUAAAAUAAAAUCACAUUUUUUAGUCUCAAUGACAUUUUUCUUAAGCAUUUUAGGGAUAAAAAAUGUUGAUGAAAAUUUUUGACAGGGACUAAAAUUGCUGAUGAAAUUUUUUUAUAGGGACUAAAAAUGCUGAUGAAAAUUUUUGUAGAGACUAAAAAAUAUGACUUUAUUUUGUAGGGACUAAAAUCAACAUUUUAAAUAUUUAUAGGGACCAUUUACUUAAUUAACCCUAAAAAUAAUUAACCAAAGUUCGUCUAUGCAAGUAAUUGGAAAAAGUAUUUUGUCCAUGAUUGAUUUAGUCCGUGGGAUUUGUUGAUUUAAAUGUCAACCUUAAUGAUUAAGAUAAAAUUCAUAUUGAGUGAAAUACAUUCUUUUUUAGAGGUAUUAAGUGUAAUACAUGGAAUGUGUCUCUUUCGAUUAGUUCAACCUUCCCAUCAUCACUUUAAUUUAAUUCAUAAGAAAAUUCGGGGAAAUCAAUUUCGAAUCCUAGUAUACUCAUUCUUAGUUUAAUUUUUUAUUUGAGGGGUCAUUUUUAGUUUAUUAAUUGUUAAAAAUUAGUAUUAUAUCAUGUAUUGUCAAUAAAGAGUAGUAUAUUAUAACCAAUGUGGUAGAGUCUACCAAAAAGGACAAUACUUAUAUUGCAAGUGAACCAAAGUUCGAUCAAAUCUAUCUCACAUGUCUCAUAUUGUGGAUGAGUGUUUGUUGAGAUCAGAAUUUUAGCUCAUUUGUUAAAAUUAUCAAUUCAAAAAACACUCAUCCACAACAAAGGAUUGAAGAAUUAUUUUGGAUUUUACAAUUAUCUAAACAAUAUAGAUGAUUAACGAUAAAGUCUAUAUGAUUUUCAUUAAGUAGUUUUAUUUAUUGAGAAAAACCAUUGGAGGCCAUACAAGAUCUCACUUAGUCAAAUGGCAAAUUGCUCCAAAUCUCGCAACUAACAAGUAACAAUAAAUCACUAUACAAUUCAACCAAUUUAUCACAGCAUCCAAUUCAAUCUGAUUACUCAUUUACCCAUAAAAAACAAGUUCACAUUGUGAAACUAAUGUUUUUCAAAUUGCUAGGGUUUUUACUAUGUUAUCAAGACAAAAAAUAACAGAAAUCCAACAAAAUGAACGCAAAUGAAAUUAAAAGAAGUAAAGUUGUCUUCAUAUUUUUCAAUUCGCAUACAACAUACCCCUUUCAUAGCACGCAUUUGGGCGUUUAAUAGCGCUAAGAAAGCCCUCGCUAUUAUAGGCCAGAACCCUUUAAUAGCUCUAUCUACGCUAUUAAAUAGCAGUAUUUCAAUAACGCUUUCAGAAAAACACAAAUAUAACCUUAUUUUUGUGCUAUUUUUAAACAAAUGUUUCUUAGCGUUGUUUGGAAAGCGCUAUCUUAAGAGUCCAUUUAUGGUGGCUUCUCCAAUCCGCGAGGGAUACGAGCUUCUAUGAUGCUCCGAGUGAAAGGAUUGUAUGUUGUACGGUCGUCGUCAGAGUAUGAUGAGGACCACGAGCGUUUGUUGUGCCUCGACAGAGACCUUCGCGCGGAGAUCUUCAGCUAGGCGAUCGUCGACUGCGCGUUGGAGAUCUCACGUUGACAGAAUGUUUGGGCGAUUUUGAUCUGGACGGACAUGGACUCCCUCCCUAUUCGUUACGCGGUGGGGAGAGAGGCAGUAUAGGACGCGAAAAACUGCUUCCUCGAAAGAUCUUUCUCUAUGUCUGAAAGACGACGAUUCUACUCCUCGAUUAUCGACGUUUGCCGUUGAACCGUCUGGAGUAGAUUAUUGAGCAUAUCAUCGGUUGAGGUGGCAUUGUCCGCCACUUCGUUAGGUCACGAAGGGCCAAGAAGGGGAUGGUCCUAUAGAGGUACUGCCAGCUGGGGAAUCUGCUGGGAGUUUUUUCAAUAUCAGCAGAAGACAGCGUGGAAAUCUGUGUGUCGCGGUAGACACGAUGGACUUCGCUCUUAACAUGGGAACUGGCAUUGUUGGUAGUCAUGGUGUUUAGAGUUUUAAAAGCUUUGGUUUUUUGUUGGUAAGAAAUGGGGAUAUCGUGUAUUUUCCCACAGACGGUGUCACUGAUCGUACCUGAUAAGAAUGUGACUACUAGUGCAGUUUUGUAUGCUGGUUGUGUGGUGGUUGGAAGCCUCAAUUGUUUACUGGAACGGUAGGGGUGUGUACCUAUAGAAACUGACGCUCAAGUCAGUAUGAGAUUAGAAUGUGGGUUAAGAAAGAGAGUAGAUUCUAACCUUGGGUUCUGCUGAGAGUCCCAUUUAUAUAGAGGUGGGUGUUUACGAUUACAGAUUUGUGGGAAUCGUAACCGCCGAUGAAAGAUUCACGGGAGCCAUGAUGAUGACCGUUGAUGUUCAGUUUGAACGGGUAUUUGUUGCUCCGAGGACCCACCUCGUGGGGAGGGGGUGUGUUGUGAGUAAUUUACCAAACUUCGGAUUUGGAUUUAUUUCGUAUUGGGCCUACGUAAAUGGGCCUAAACUGUUGGCUCGGUCGAGAACAUAUAUGAUACUCCCUCCGGUCACAUUUAUAAGCAAAAAACAACUUUUUAGGUACAUCCAAUAAUUAAUGUAUCUAACUCAUAAAUAUGGUCGGAUACAUUAAUUAUUCAAUGUACCUAAAAAGUCAUUUUUUGCUUAUAAAUGCGACUGGAUGGAGUAUAUAUUAUGUAUUAGACAAAACUACCCUUACAAUAAAAUCAUAUGUAUUUUCUUAAAAAAAUUAAUUAAUAAGUGCCUCUCGUAGCUCAUUUGGUUAGAGCACCCGUUUAGUAAGCGGGAGGUCUCAACUCUCAAUGAGAGCAAUUCAUGUUUAUUUUUAUAGUAAAAAAAUAAAAUAAAUUAAUGUUCAUAUAUUAAUAAUUUAUAAUAAUAAUAAUUUUAUUUUUAUUUUUAGACAUUCUAAUUUUUUUAAUGAUUUUAAUAUCUUUUUUGUUUUGUUUAUAUCUAUAUUUUAUUAUAUAUCAAUUUUUAAAUUUAAUAUUAUUUUGAUAGGGGGGAAUUAGUAAUUUGUUUUCUUAUCCUAUACUGUUGGUUUCUAACCUGCUCAUAUUCGGGAUAGAAAUUAUAACUACAUAAACAUAAUAAGAUAAGUUUCAUGAUAAACUUAUCAUAUCGUAUUGUACCAUCAAACACUAAAUUAAGACGGAAUAUGAUAUAAUUAUCUUAUCAUUUCGCUUAUUUCGGUCAUUACACGGAGCUAAGGUAUGUGAGUAUGUCUCUCUUAAUAUUGUGUCUAGAAGUUGAAAACUUACUCUUGGUAUUAUGCCAUUGAGGAAUAUGUUUAGUCAUAUAAAAGUAAAGAAGGCAGAAAAUCACUAUUAAAUUAUACGAAUAAAUCCAUUAAUCAUAACAAUAUAAAACAAAAAUGAAUAGAAUCCCAAACAAGACAAACAUUUACAUUGUUUCUCUAUCAUACACUAUAUCAUCACACUUGUGCACAACGAUAUUCAAAGUGCUAUUGUAAUUAACAUAUAUAUGCAUAUAAUUAAUACUUAUAAUGUUUUACAGUAUCUUGAUAAAUUAAUUGGCUCUCCUACAAUUGUAACGAACUUCACCCUGUUUCCCAGUAAGUGGCUUAAUAUUUCCCAUCUUAAUCAUAGAUUUUGCAAAGUCCUUAUAGAAAGUUCUUGUAUCACGCCUAUAUUUUCUAACCAAAGCUCCAGUAUAACCACCCUUCAACAAUUCUUGAUCAGAAUGAAGAAGCCCUUUCUUUUUAAUCAAUUGCGAGUAAUAAGCCACAUCAAAUUUCGCUGAUGUUACACUGUCGAGAGGAGCGAGGUUGGAGUCUCCGCCUUCUCUAGGGCAAACGUUUUGAAGUUGUUUUGCGAAAUAUGCAUUGAUGUUGUUGUCUUUGUAGAUUCGGUCUCUAAAUAAAAAACAACGCGAGAAUCCAAUAGUGUGUGCUCCAGAUAGGGCAACGAGGUCUUUUUCGUUUAGGCCUUGAUUGUCGAAGUUUUUGAUGAGUUGAGAAAGACUGAAUGCUGGUCCGGGGAUAUUGCCUGAAUCUGCAUCGGCACGACUUGCUGUCUUUGAGUCUCUUCUUCCUAGUUUCACUUUCCAUGAUGGUCCUCCUAACUGCAUCCAUAUAUAAUGGUAAAUUUCAAUUUAAAUUUCGUGUUAUGCAAGCAACAUUUUUAUUUGUCCUUUUUUGUAUAUUGAAGAAGCUUUUGUAGGAUUUGAAAAAUCUCUAAUACACACAUAUGGAAUUAAUGAAGGAAUCAUGCAUGGAAUGACAUGAGUUAUAGAUACUUGAGUCUCAAGUUAUAUUCAAUAUAAGAAAAUAUCGAUGAAAAAAAAAAAAUAUCUCAAUUAUCUCGUGAUAUUAUUUUUUAUACGUCUAAAAUAUUUUAGUUUACUCUAUCAACAAAAAUAAUUAGUUUACCAAAAAAAUAUUUGUAGCAUGUAACUUGUGUGGCUUUACUUUGAUACAUUCAAAUAGUAAAUACUAAUAUAAGUAAAAUCGACUCAGUCAUAUCGUUAGAAUAAAUUUAUUAGCAAGUUACACAACUUUGGGCAUUUUAAUUUUGAUAUAUUCAAUGUUGGUGGUAUAAAUUAGAAAAUUUCAUAUAUAAAUGCUUAACUCUUAGUAACUUCCUUUUAUUAACUUUAUUUUAUUCAUUUGAUCAAAAAAAUUAACCAACCAUGCUGACUAAUUCUGUUUGAAAAUUACGGACUAAUUCAAAAUAAAAUAAAAUAUAUAUAUAUAUAUAUAUUAAAAUGUAGAAUAUUUUUGUUUUGAAGGAGUUAAAAUGUAGAAUAUUAUUACUAACCGCAACGACAGAGUCUCUUGCAGCUAUGGCCAAAAUGUCUGCACAAGAAACAACUGGUUUUCCACAUGCUUUAUCAACAGCAUCCUUAAUCUCAUCAACAACUUCAAAUCCUCUUGCUGAAUUUAUAUUUGGAUUUGCAUUUUUUUCACUGUCCAUUGAAGGUGUAGAGUCUAGAAGAAUUGAACCAUCACAACCCUGAAUCACACCAUAAAUUAAUCAUUAAAAUAAAUUAGUUUAAUUAGUUUAAUUUCUCGACUAAUUUUCAUAUUAUCAGUCUAAUCAGUUUAUAAAUUAAUCAUUAAAAUAAAUUUAUUGAUUCAUUUAGAAAAGUAACUAAAAUUAAUUUGUCACUAUUUAUGAUAGAUCAUUACUAAAAAAAAAAUUAGAGAACAUUAUAAAUUUUGUGAUGAAAGAAAUAGAGAGUUAGUUUAUUAUUUAUGUAAAUAAUUUUUGUCA
This 6881-nucleotide long non-coding RNA is filed under the name Medicago truncatula (barrel medic). RNAcentral's name for it is "long non-coding RNA (MTRU_LNC001593)". The stretch from base 4390 to 4457 matches the Rfam family "tRNA". The record is from RNAcentral. Lineage: Eukaryota; Viridiplantae; Streptophyta; Magnoliopsida; Fabales; Fabaceae.